This 2214-nucleotide unclassified non-coding RNA is filed under the name Drosophila melanogaster (fruit fly). The record is from RNAcentral. Lineage: Eukaryota; Metazoa; Arthropoda; Insecta; Diptera; Drosophilidae.
UGUUGGAAUAUACUAUUCAACCUACAAAAAUAACGUUAAACAACACUACUUUAUAUUUGAUAUGAAUGGCCACACCUUUUAUGCCAUAAAACAUAUUGUAAGAGAAUACCACUCUUUUUAUUCCUUCUUUCCUUCUUGUACGUUUUUUGCUGUGAGUAGGUCGUGGUGCUGGUGUUGCAGUUGAAAUAACUUAAAAUAUAAAUCAUAAAACUCAAACAUAAACUUGACUAUUUAUUUAUUUAUUAAGAAAGGAAAUAUAAAUUAUAAAUUACAACAGGUUAUGGGCCCAGUCCAUGCCUAAUAAACAAUUAAAUUGUGAAUUAAAGAUUGUGAAAAUAAAUUGUGAAAUAGCAUUUUUUCACAUUCUUGUGAAAUAGCUUUUUUUUUCACAUUCUUGUGAAAUUAUUUCCUUCUCAGAAUUUGAGUGAAAAAUGGACAAGGCUAAACGUAAUAUUAAGCCGUUUGAUGGCGAGAAGUACGCGAUUUGGAAAUUUAGAAUUAGGGCUCUUUUAGCCGAGCAAGAUGUGCUUAAAGUAGUUGAUGGUUUAAUGCCUAACGAGGUAGAUGACUCCUGGAAAAAGGCAGAGCGUUGUGCAAAAAGUACAAUAAUAGAGUACCUAAGCGACUCGUUUUUAAAUUUCGCAACAAGCGACAUUACGGCGCGUCAGAUUCUUGAGAAUUUGGACGCCGUUUAUGAACGAAAAAGUUUGGCGUCGCAACUGGCGCUGCGAAAACGUUUGCUUUCUCUGAAGCUAUCGAGUGAGAUGUCACUAUUAAGCCAUUUUCAUAUUUUUGACGAACUUAUAAGUGAAUUGUUGGCAGCUGGUGCAAAAAUAGAAGAGAUGGAUAAAAUUUCUCAUCUACUGAUCACAUUGCCUUCGUGUUACGAUGGAAUUAUUACAGCGAUAGAGACAUUAUCUGAAGAAAAUUUGACAUUGGCGUUUGUGAAAAAUAGAUUGCUGGAUCAAGAAAUUAAAAUUAAAAAUGACCACAACGAUACAAGCAAGAAAGUUAUGAACGCGAUCGUGCACAACAAUAAUAACACUUAUAAAAAUAAUUUGUUUAAAAAUCGGGUAACUAAACCAAAGAAAAUAUUCAAGGGAAAUUCAAAGUAUAAAGUCAAGUGUCACCACUGUGGCAGAGAAGGCCACAUUAAAAAAGAUUGUUUCCAUUAUAAAAGAAUAUUAAAUAAUAAAAAUAAAGAAAAUGAAAAACAAGUUCAAACUGCAACAUCACACGGCAUUGCGUUUAUGGUAAAAGAAGUGAAUAAUACUUCAGUGAUGGACAACUGCGGGUUUGUCCUUGAUUCUGGUGCUAGUGACCAUCUUAUAAAUGAUGAGUCGCUGUAUACCGACAGUGUGGAGGUUGUGCCUCCACUUAAGAUUGCAGUGGCCAAGCAAGGCGAAUUUAUUUAUGCCACUAAGCGUGGUAUUGUCCGACUACGGAAUGACCAUGAGAUUACACUGGAGGAUGUACUCUUUUGUAAGGAAGCUGCUGGUAAUUUGAUGUCCGUAAAGCGUCUCCAAGAGGCAGGAAUGUCGAUCGAAUUUGACAAAAGCGGUGUAACCAUUUCGAAAAAUGGGUUAAUGGUUGUCAAAAAUUCAGAGAAUCAACUGGCUGACAUAUUUACAAAACCGUUGCCUGCUGCGAGAUUUGUGGAGUUACGAGACAAAUUGGGUUUGCUGCAAGACGACCAAUCGAAUGCUGAAUGAAAUUUUUAUAUAUAUUUUUCAAAUUUAAAUUCCUGUAAACAUAUUUUGUUACAAUGAUCUGAUCGGGUUUUUCUGGGUUUUCCCCGUAUCCUCGCAGCAAAUGCUGGAUCAGUUAACACUUCCCAGAAUGCACACCACCCACAUUUGAUAGUUACUAAUGAAUAUUAUUGUUAUGUUUUUAAUUAUAGACGUUAUUUUUGAGGGGGCGUGUUGGAAUAUACUAUUCAACCUACAAAAAUAACGUUAAACAACACUACUUUAUAUUUGAUAUGAAUGGCCACACCUUUUAUGCCAUAAAACAUAUUGUAAGAGAAUACCACUCUUUUUAUUCCUUCUUUCCUUCUUGUACGUUUUUUGCUGUGAGUAGGUCGUGGUGCUGGUGUUGCAGUUGAAAUAACUUAAAAUAUAAAUCAUAAAACUCAAACAUAAACUUGACUAUUUAUUUAUUAUUAAGAAAGGAAAAUAAAUUAUAAAUUACAACAUUAUCCAAAUUAUUAUUUAA